UACGAAGGGGGCUAGCGUUGUUCGGAUUUACUGGGCGUAAAGCGCACGUAGGUGGAUAGUUAAGUGAGGGGUGAAAUCCCAGGGCUCAACCCUGGAACUGCCUUUCAUACUGGCUAUCUUGAGUUCGGAAGAGGUGAGUGGAAUUCCUAGUGUAGAGGUGAAAUUCGUAGAUAUUAGGAAGAACACCGGUGGCGAAGGCGGCUCACUGGUCCGAUACUGACGCUGAGGUGCGAAAGCGUGGGGAGCAAACAGG
RNAcentral lists this ribosomal RNA (253 nucleotides) under uncultured bacterium. RNAcentral's name for it is "partial 16S ribosomal RNA". It matches the Rfam family "Bacterial small subunit ribosomal RNA", at positions 524 to 776 of the family's 1533-position model. The record is from RNAcentral.